UCUAUGUUUUUACUACUGUGAAUGGUGCUGCAACAAACAGUUCUUCCCCCAAAUUACAAGGAAUGGAGGCUGGGAAACUACAUUUCUGAGACUCCUUCAUCAUCAGGAUGCCAGAUAAUAUUUUAAUCUGAAGAGAUAGGGGGAAACAGAGACUCUCACAAGAGAUUAGCUCACUGGAGCAAAGCUGCCAGAAGCAUAAACUGAUAGGAACAGCUUCUUUCCUAGAAUGAAGAAACACUGUCUCAAGGUAGAACAUCCAGUCUGCAACCAUGAAGACAAAACCAACACAAUAAAGAUCAAAAGCAGGAAACCAGAAAG
This 318-nucleotide long non-coding RNA is filed under the name Homo sapiens (human). RNAcentral's name for it is "HSALNT0252845". The record is from RNAcentral. Lineage: Eukaryota; Metazoa; Chordata; Mammalia; Primates; Hominidae.